Molecule: ribosomal RNA, 200 nt
Filed under: uncultured eukaryote
Lineage: Eukaryota
Description: partial 18S ribosomal RNA
Rfam family: Eukaryotic small subunit ribosomal RNA
Source: RNAcentral
GCUCCAAUAGCGUAUAUUAAAGUUGUUGCAGUUAAAAAGCUCGUAGUUGAAUUUCUGGUGGGAGUGUACAGUCCGACACUGAGUGUUGGUUCUUGUAUGUCUCCGGCCAUCCUUGGAGUGAAUCUGUCUGGCAUUCAGUUGUUGGGCAGAGUAUCUCCAUCGUUUACUGUGAGGAAAUGAAAGUGUUCAAAGCAGCUUAC